AACGCAAUAUGUGGAAUAUGUG
Molecule: non-coding RNA, 22 nt
Filed under: Arabidopsis thaliana (thale cress)
Lineage: Eukaryota; Viridiplantae; Streptophyta; Magnoliopsida; Brassicales; Brassicaceae
Source: RNAcentral